This 492-nucleotide ribosomal RNA is filed under the name uncultured bacterium. Its description in RNAcentral is "partial 16S ribosomal RNA". It matches the Rfam family "Bacterial small subunit ribosomal RNA", at positions 29 to 507 of the family's 1533-position model. The record is from RNAcentral.
AGUGAACGCUGGCGGUAGGCCUAACACAUGCAAGUCGAACGGCAGCACAGUAAGAGCUUGCUCUUACGGGUGGCGAGUGGCGGACGGGUGAGGAAUACAUCGGAAUCUACUUUUUCGUGGGGGAUAACGUAGGGAAACUUACGCUAAUACCGCAUACGACCUACGGGUGAAAGCAGGGGAUCUUCGGACCUUGCGCGAUUGAAUGAGCCGAUGUCGGAUUAGUUAGUUGGCGGGGUAAAGGCCCACCCAGGCGACGAUCCGUAGCUGGUCUGAGGGGAUGAUCAGCCACACUGGAACUGAGACACGGUCCAGACUCCUACGGGAGGCAGCAGUGGGGAAUAUUGGACAAUGGGCGCAAGCCUGAUCCAGCCAUACCGCGUGGGUGAAGAAGGCCUUCGGGUUGUAAAGCCCUUUUGUUGGGAGAGAAAAGCAGCAGGUUAAUACCCCGCUGUUCUGACGGUACCCAAAGAAUAAGCACCGGCUAACUUCGUG